This 406-nucleotide ribosomal RNA is filed under the name uncultured bacterium. Its description in RNAcentral is "partial 16S ribosomal RNA". It matches the Rfam family "Bacterial small subunit ribosomal RNA", at positions 30 to 526 of the family's 1533-position model. The record is from RNAcentral.
AUUGAACGCUGGCGGCAGGCAUAACACAUGCAAGUCGAACGAGUGGCGGACGGGUGAGUAAUGUAUGGGAAACUGCCCGAUGGAGGGGGAUAACUACGGGAAACGGUAGCUAAUACCGCAUACCAUCGGAUGUGCUCAGACGGGCUCCGCUAGUAGGUGGGGAAACGGCUCUCAUAGGCGACGACCCCUAGCUGGUCUGAGAGGAUGACCAGCAAAACUAGAACUGGGACCCGAUCCAACCUCCUACGGGAGGCAGCAAUGGGAAAUAUUGCACAAUGGGCACAGCCCUGAUGCGGCCAUGCCGCGUGUAUGAAGCAGGCGUUCGGGUUGUAAAGUACUUUCAGCGAGGAGGCGUUGCUCGCAGAAGAGGCGCCGGCUAACUCCGUGCCAGCAGCCGCGGUAAUAC